AAGUUCUCAACCAUAUCUUUUGUUGAUGUGGCUUGGAUAGUGGGGGCUUAUAUUUGCAGGCUUUUGAAAAGAAGUCUGCUCCCCUGAAAUGAAUUAGUGGUAUCUAAGCAGAGACUACUAUAGGUGUGAUAACUAUCUAUGCCUUGGUAUAUACUGUAUAAACUGCUUCUAACAACAAAAGUUGACCA
Molecule: unclassified non-coding RNA, 188 nt
Filed under: uncultured Inocybe
Lineage: Eukaryota; Fungi; Basidiomycota; Agaricomycetes; Agaricales; Cortinariaceae
Description: sequence contains ITS2
Source: RNAcentral